RNAcentral lists this ribosomal RNA (276 nucleotides) under Alcaligenes faecalis. RNAcentral's name for it is "partial 16S ribosomal RNA". It matches the Rfam family "Bacterial small subunit ribosomal RNA", at positions 1043 to 1325 of the family's 1533-position model. The record is from RNAcentral. Lineage: Bacteria; Pseudomonadati; Pseudomonadota; Betaproteobacteria; Burkholderiales; Alcaligenaceae.
GCAUGGCUGUCGUCAGCUCGUGUCGUGAGAUGUUGGGUUAAGUCCCGCAACGAGCGCAACCCUUGUCAUUAGUUGCUACGCAAGAGCACUCUAAUGAGACUGCCGGUGACAAACCGGAGGAAGGUGGGGAUGACGUCAAGUCCUCAUGGCCCUUAUGGGUAGGGCUUCACACGUCAUACAAUGGUCGGGACAGAGGGUCGCCAACCCGCGAGGGGGAGCCAAUCUCAGAAACCCGAUCGUAGUCCGGAUCGCAGUCUGCAACUCGACUGCGUGAAG